AUAUCAAUAAGCGGAGGAAAAGAAACCAACAGGGAUUGCCCCAGUAACGGCGAGUGAAGCGGCAAUAGCUCAAAUUUGAAAUCUGGCCCUUUCAGGGUCCGAGUUGUAAUUUGCAGAGGGCGCUUUGGUGUCGGCAGCAGCCUAAGUUCCUUGGAACAGGUCAUCAUAGAGGGUGAGAAUCCCGUAUGUGGCUGCUUGUCUUCACCGUGUAAAGCCCCUUCGAUGAGUCGAGUUGUUUGGGAAUGCAGCUCUAAAUGGGAGGUAAAUUUCUUCUAAAGCUAAAUAUUGGCCAGAGACCGAUAGCGCACAAGUAGAGUGAUCGAAAGAUGAAAAGCACUUUGGAAAGAGAGUCAAAAAGCACGUGAAAUUGUUGAAAGGGAAGCGCUUGCAGCCAGACGUGCCCGUAGUUGCUCAUCUGGGGUUUUCCCCAGUGCACUCUUCUAUGGGCAGGCCAGCAUCAGUUCGGGCGGUUGGAGAAAGACCUGCUGCAUUUAGCUCUCUUCGGGGAGUGUUAUAGGGCAGGUGGAAUGCAACCAGCCUGAACUGAGGUCCGCGCAUCUGCUAGGAUGCUGGCGUAAUGGCUGUAAGCGGCCCGUCUUGAAACACGGACCAAGGAGUCUAACAUCUAUGCGAGUGUUUGGGUGUCAAGCCCGAGCGCGUAAUGAAAGUGAACGGAGGUGGGAACCCCUCGGGGCGCACCAUCGACCGAUCCUGAUGUCUUCGGAUGGAUUUGAGUAAGAGCAUAGCUGUUGGGACCCGAAAGAUGGUGAACUAUGCCUGAAUAGGGUGAAGCCAGAGGAAACUCUGGUGGAGGCUCGCAGCGGUUCUGACGUGCAAAUCGAUCGUCAAAUUUGGGCAUAGGGGCGAAAGACUAAUCGAACUAUCUAGUAGCUGGUUCCUGC
This 902-nucleotide ribosomal RNA is filed under the name Herpotrichia juniperi. RNAcentral describes it as "partial 28S ribosomal RNA". It matches the Rfam family "Eukaryotic large subunit ribosomal RNA", at positions 40 to 961 of the family's 3401-position model. Lineage: Eukaryota; Fungi; Ascomycota; Dothideomycetes; Pleosporales; Melanommataceae. The record is from RNAcentral.